GACGAACGCUGGCGGCGUGCCUAAUACAUGCAAGUCGAACGCAGUGGGGACGGGUGAGUAACACGUGGGUAACCUCCCAUCAGAGGGGAUAACACUUGGAAACAGGUGCUAAACCGAUACUGAUGGAUGAACCCGGGGUGCAUUAGCUAGUGGGGGGGGUAACGGCUCACCAAGGCCACGAUGCAUAGCCGAUCUGAGAGGUUGAUCGGCCACACUGGGACUGAGACACGGCCCAGACUCCUACGGGAGGCAGCAGUGGGGAAUAUUGGGCAAUGGACGAAAGUCUGAUCGAGCAACGCCGCGUGUGUGAAGAAGGUUUUCGGAUCGUAAAACUCUGUUAUUAGAGAAGCGGUAUUUAACCAGAAAGCCACGGCUAACUACGUGCCAGCAGCCGCGGUAAUUC
This 403-nucleotide ribosomal RNA is filed under the name uncultured bacterium. RNAcentral's name for it is "partial 16S ribosomal RNA". It matches the Rfam family "Bacterial small subunit ribosomal RNA", at positions 28 to 526 of the family's 1533-position model. The record is from RNAcentral.